Molecule: ribosomal RNA, 254 nt
Filed under: uncultured bacterium
Lineage: Bacteria
Description: partial 16S ribosomal RNA
Rfam family: Bacterial small subunit ribosomal RNA
Source: RNAcentral
GACGAACCGUGCGAACGUUAUUCGGAGUCACUGGGCUUAAAGCGCGUGUAGGCGGGAGGGCACGUCCGUCGCUGAAAUCCCCCGGCUCAACCGGGGAACGGGCGCGGAUACGACCUUCCUGGAGGGGCGUAGGGGGACCUGGAACUUCCGGUGGAGCGGUGAAAUGCGUUGAGAUCGGAAGGAACGCCCGUGGCGAAAGCGAGGUCCUGGACGCCUACUGACGCUGAGACGCGAAAGCCAGGGGAGCGAACGGG